This 861-nucleotide ribosomal RNA is filed under the name Triticum aestivum (bread wheat). Its description in RNAcentral is "partial small subunit ribosomal RNA". The record is from RNAcentral. Lineage: Eukaryota; Viridiplantae; Streptophyta; Magnoliopsida; Poales; Poaceae.
AUGGACGAGUGGUUCUUCUCCGUCGACCGGGACGACGACGACGACCUGCUGAGCCUGAUGGGCCUCCUCUCGCCCCCGCCCGCGGUGGUGCACCAGGGCAGCGCCUUCGCGCCGUACCAGCGGCGUAGUACGGCGACGUCAUUGCUCGUGUCCCCGGGCCGGCGGCAGCGCGCGCGGGGCAGAGCCAACGCCCACCGGAGCAUGCACGAGUACUUGAGGCGCAUGAAUGGCCUUGAGUCGUCUCCCCAGGGGACAUCUUCGGGAGCACGAGCGGCGCCGCCGGCGAAGGAGCCGAUCGAGCCGCAGGUGCCGCGCAGCUCGGCGUUCCGGCACAUCACGCGGGAGCGGCUGCGGCGGGAGCGCCUCAGCCAGGGCUACGCCGACAUCCGCGCCCUCCUGCCACCGGGACGGGCACCAAACGGUGCCAAGAACUUUGUCCUCGCCGCGGCGGUCGACUACAUCAGGGAGCUGGAGGGGAGGAAGGGCCGGCUUGGCGCGCGGCAUGCAGAGCUGGUGAGAUCGUCUGAAUCAGACGGCGCGUCCGGCGGCGGCAUGGUGGUCAAGGUGCGCGGCGAGGGCGGGUGUUCUUCUAUGGUUGGCGCACUUGAGGCGGUGCUCCGGCGGCUCAAGGCCAUGCAGGAGCUGCGGGUGACGGAGAUCCGGUCGUGGUGCUGUGACGGCGCCAUGUGCAUGGACGUCGCGGUCGCGGUGGAGUCCACGGUAUCUUCGUUCGAGGUGGACAUGCGAAUAACAAAUGCCUUGAUGGAGCUUGAGGAAAUCAAAUCCGGCCGCUUGCAGGAUGCAGUGAAGCGUAGCUCCAACUUUAGUUGUCAAGUUGUAAGUGGUGAGCUCAUGAGUUGA